This is a long non-coding RNA of Cryptomeria japonica (Japanese cedar), 521 nucleotides long. RefSeq lists it as uncharacterized. The transcript is spliced from 2 exons. The record is from RefSeq and is a predicted model, not a curated record. NCBI's taxonomy places the organism in Eukaryota, Viridiplantae, Streptophyta, Pinopsida, Cupressales, Cupressaceae.
AAAAAUUUCCAAAUUCAUAUGAAAUCCUUAUAGAAGUCGAUCUGGUAGAGUGUUUUAAGGCGGGCGGAUGCGCUUGCUAAGUACAUGAGUUUUCGCAGCGAAAGAUCUAAUCUCUCAGAGACGUUAUGAUUACUUGGCUCCUGUGACAUAUAUUUGUGAAAUUGUUGUUAAUGAACCCACAUGCGUGAAAAGAAGAAAAAAACGGGAGAAGAGGGAGUACAAGAGGAAGGAGAGGGAUAAGAUUUAAGCAUUCAUACCUGGGCGGGGUCGAUCGGUGAUCACGAAGACCGAUGGCCUAGAGAGAGCACCUUCAUUGCACUAACAGAAGGGGGUUCUGUCUAACAUCUCCCAUUGUGGAGAAUGGACGUCAUAAUUUGUGACAGAGGGGGCUCGCGUUCGCGCGGCCCCCCACAUAAUACCAUUCAUAAGAAAUAUCUACUUUUGUGACUAUUUACAGGGCAUUUUAUUCUGUAGCAGAAAUAUAAUUGAUGGGCCUGAAGCAAUCUCUCUUUAUCAUGAAA